This 242-nucleotide ribosomal RNA is filed under the name uncultured bacterium. RNAcentral's name for it is "partial 16S ribosomal RNA". It matches the Rfam family "Bacterial small subunit ribosomal RNA", at positions 535 to 776 of the family's 1533-position model. The record is from RNAcentral.
CUAGCGUUGCUCGGAAUCACUGGGCGUAAAGCGCACGUAGGCGGAUUGCUAAGUCAGGGGUGAAAUCCUGGAGCUCAACUCCAGAACUGCCUUUGAUACUGAAGAUCUUGAGUUCGGGAGAGGUGAGUGGAACUGCGAGUGUAGAGGUGAAAUUCGUAGAUAUUCGCAAGAACACCAGUGGCGAAGGCGGCUCACUGGCCCGAUACUGACGCUGAGGCACGAAAGCGUGGGGAGCAAACAGG